Non-coding RNA from Lachnoclostridium sp. YL32, 38 nucleotides. Lineage: Bacteria; Bacillati; Bacillota; Clostridia; Lachnospirales; Lachnospiraceae. The record is from Rfam.
GGGACCUGUACUCGUUGCGGGUCAACGAUGGUAAAAGA